Molecule: ribosomal RNA, 448 nt
Filed under: Ptychadena tellinii
Lineage: Eukaryota; Metazoa; Chordata; Amphibia; Anura; Ptychadenidae
Description: partial 16S ribosomal RNA
Rfam family: Bacterial large subunit ribosomal RNA
Source: RNAcentral
GAGGUCCCGCCUGCCCAGUGAUAGGAUUCAACGGCCGCGGUACUCUAACCGUGCGAAGGUAGCACAAUAACUUGUUCUUUAAAUAAGGACUAGAAUCAAUGGCUUCACGAGGGUUAUACUGUCUCCUUUUUCUAAUCAGUGAAACUGAUCUCCCCGUGAAGAAGCGGGGAUAUUUAUAUAAGACGAGAAGACCCCAUGGAGCUUUAAACUCAAUAGAUACCCCCACCCCACCCUUUCAUGGUAAUUUAGGCACCUAUCUAUUAGUUUUGGGUUGGGGUGACCACGGAGUAUAGUUUAGCCUCCGUAAUGAAAAGAAUAAUAUCCUAAUCUAUGAGGGACACCUCUAAGAAUUAAUAUAUUAACAUACACUGAUCCAAUAAUCUUAUUUGAUCAAUGAACCAAGUUACCCUGGGGAUAACAGCGCGAUCCACUUCAAGAGUUCCUAUCG